GGGUGGUAAUACCGGAUGCUCCGCUCCAUCGCAUGGUGGGGUGGGAAAUGCUUUUGCGGCAUGGGAUGGGGUCGCGUCCUAUCAGCUUGUUGGCGGGGUGAUGGCCCACCAAGGCGUUGACGGGUAGCCGGCCUGAGAGGGUGACCGGCCACAUUGGGACUGAGAUACGGCCCAGACUCCUACGGGAGGCAGCAGUGGGGAAUAUUGCACAAUGGGCGCAAGCCUGAUGCAGCGACGCCGCGUGCGGGAUGGAGGCCUUCGGGUUGUAAACCGCUUUUGUUCAAGGGCAAGGCACGGUUUCGGCCGUGUUGAGUGGAUUGUUCGAAUAAGCACCGGCUAACUACGUGCCAGCAGCCGCGGUAAUACGUAGGGUGCGAGCGUUAUCCGGAUUUAUUGGGCGUAAAGGGCUCGUAGGCGGUUCGUCGCGUCCGGUGUGAAAGUCCAUCGCCUAACGGUGGAUCUGCGCCGGGUACGGGCGGGCUGGAGUGCGGUAGGGGAGACUGGAAUUCCCGGUGUAACGGUGGAAUGUGUAGAUAUCGGGAAGAACACCA
RNAcentral lists this ribosomal RNA (551 nucleotides) under Bifidobacterium animalis subsp. lactis. RNAcentral's name for it is "bacterial SSU rRNA". It matches the Rfam family "Bacterial small subunit ribosomal RNA", at positions 158 to 711 of the family's 1533-position model. The record is from RNAcentral. Lineage: Bacteria; Bacillati; Actinomycetota; Actinomycetes; Bifidobacteriales; Bifidobacteriaceae.